RNAcentral lists this ribosomal RNA (1370 nucleotides) under uncultured bacterium. RNAcentral's name for it is "bacterial SSU rRNA". It matches the Rfam family "Bacterial small subunit ribosomal RNA", at positions 8 to 1378 of the family's 1533-position model. The record is from RNAcentral.
AGAGUUUGAUCCUGGCUCAGGAUGAACGCUGGCGGCGUGCUUAACACAUGCAAGUCGAACGGAGAAUAUCUUAACAGAGACUUCGGUUGAAGUUGCUAUAUUCUUAGUGGCGGACGGGUGAGUAACGCGUGGGUAACCUGCCUCAUACCGGGGGAUAACAGCCAGAAAUGGCUGCUAAUACCGCAUAAGCGCACGGGAGCGCAUGCUCCAGUGUGAAAAACUCCGGUGGUAUGGGAUGGACCCGCGUUGGAUUAGCUGGUUGGCAGGGUAAUGGCCUACCAAGGCAACGAUCCAUAGCCGGCCUGAGAGGGUGAACGGCCACAUUGGGACUGAGACACGGCCCAGACUCCUACGGGAGGCAGCAGUGGGGAAUAUUGCACAAUGGGGGAAACCCUGAUGCAGCGACGCCGCGUGAAGGAAGAAGGUUUUCGGAUUGUAAACCACUGUUCUUCGUGAAGAAACAAAUGACGGUAGCGAAGAAGAAAGCUCCGGCUAACUACGUGCCAACAGCCGCGGUAAUACGUAGGGAGCGAGCGUUGUCCGGAUUUACUGGGUGUAAAGGGUGCGUAGGCGGCCCUGCAAGUCAGACGUGAAAGCCCCAGGCUCAACCUGGGAAUUGCGUUUGAAACUGUGGGGCUUGAGUGAAGUAGAGGUAGGCGGAAUUCCCGGUGUAGCGGUGAAAUGCGUAGAGAUCGGGAGGAACACCAGUGGCGAAGGCGGCCUACUGGGCUUUAACUGACGCUGAGGCACGAAAGCGUGGGUAGCAAACAGGAUUAGAUACCCUGGUAGUCCAUGCUGCAAACGAUGAUUACUAGGUGUGGGGGGUCUGACCCCCUCCGUGCCGGAGUUAACACAAUAAGUAAUCCACCUGGGGAGUACGGCCGCAAGGCUGAAACUCAAAGGAAUUGACGGGGGCCCGCACAAGCAGUGGAGUAUGUGGUUUAAUUCGAAGCAACGCGAAGAACCUUACCAGGUCUUGACAUCCAACUAACGAAGUAGAGAUACAUUAGGUGCCCUUCGGGGAAAGUUGAGACAGGUGGUGCAUGGUUGUCGUCAGCUCGUGUCGUGAGAUGUUGGGUUAAGUCCCGCAACGAGCGCAACCCUUGUCAUUAGUUGCUACGCAAGAGCACUCUAGUGAGACUGCCGUUGAUAAAACGGAGGAAGGUGGGGACGACGUCAAAUCAUCAUGCCCCUUAUGACCUGGGCUACACACGUACUACAAUGGCCGUUAACAGAGAGAGGCAAAACAGCGAUGUGGAGCAAAACUCUAAAAACGGUCCCAGUUCGGAUUGUAGGCUGAAACCCGCCUGCAUGAAGUUGGAAUUGCUAGUAAUCGAAGAUCAGCAUGCCGCGGUGAAUACGUUCCCGGG